RNAcentral lists this transfer RNA (72 nucleotides) under Acidimicrobiales bacterium. RNAcentral describes it as "tRNA-Gln". It matches the Rfam family "tRNA". Rfam says of the family: Transfer RNA (tRNA) molecules are approximately 80 nucleotides in length. Their secondary structure includes four short double-helical elements and three loops (D, anti-codon, and T loops). Further hydrogen bonds mediate the characteristic L-shaped molecular structure. tRNAs have two regions of fundamental functional importance: the anti-codon, which is responsible for specific mRNA codon recognition, and the 3' end, to which the tRNAs corresponding amino acid is attached (by aminoacyl-tRNA synthetases). tRNAs cope with the degeneracy of the genetic code in two manners: having more than one tRNA (with a specific anti-codon) for a particular amino acid; and 'wobble' base-pairing, i.e. permitting non-standard base-pairing at the 3rd anti-codon position. The record is from RNAcentral. Lineage: Bacteria; Bacillati; Actinomycetota; Acidimicrobiia; Acidimicrobiales. RNAcentral also lists the same sequence under 1 other name.
UCGGGGGUCGUCCAAUUGGCAGGACACUGGACUUUGGAUCCAGGAAUCAGCGUUCGACCCGCUGCCCCCGAG